GGACGAUGACCGGUGAACCCCACUGGCCGGCCCACUCAGUCCUCUCUCUCUCUCUCUCUCUCUCUCUCUCUCUCCCCUUUAAUGCAUAUAUUUCAGACUCCAAGCCCAACCCCACACCCCCAAACUAGUCCCUUUCCAAGGCUCAUCGAUCUCCCUCGUCCCACCCAGCAGAAAGGUAGCAGUGCCUAUAUAUCCCUCCUCCACCCACUUCUCCAAAUUCUUCCUGACUCCUUUUCCUCCCAGAUUUAAUUUUCCUCGGAACAAGGCAAACGACUUUUGUUUUCUUUCUCAUGCUGUUACGCCAAUGGAGGAGGACGAGUACUUCCACCAUACAUGAGUUGAGGUACUAUCUAUAUGGACUAUGGUCAGUUACUAUAGCGUCAUAUCGAUCGCGGUCAUGGUACUCCUGACUGUUUUGCUUCUGGUUCUGCCGCUCGUGUUGCCGCCGCUGCCUCCGCCGCCGCUGCUGCUUUUGUUCGUGCCGGUCUUCAUCAUGUCCCUCCUCGUUUUAUUGGCCAUAUCUUCUUCUUAUGUGCCUGCUAUCGCCGACACUUUCCUUUGAUUUUAGAAAGCAUCAUCAGAUGGAACUCGGCACUUUUGCCUCCUUCUGCGGAUCAACUGCCCCAAGAACUACUAGGAUCCGCCAUUUUCAGCUGUAAGUAACAACUAGUUCUGUUCUAUAUAUAGAAUAGAAAGAGACAAGUUAUAUAUAUUACAGAUUCUGGUAGCUUUGCACAUGCAGAAGCCGCGAAUCUAGCGAUGGUGGCAAUGCUUCCUAUGUUGAAAGUUGCACUGAUUAAACAAUGGGUAGGAGAAGCCAGGAGGAGGAACAAGCAGAUCAAUUUUUGGGGUAGGAUUGUCUGCAAUUUCAAAUAAACGCAGAUUCUCAAAUUAUGUAAUUUCCCAGUAAAAUGUCGCAUAUUAAAAAUGCCACAGGUUAUAAAUUAAAUUUGAGUA
Molecule: long non-coding RNA, 957 nt
Organism: Alnus glutinosa
Lineage: Eukaryota; Viridiplantae; Streptophyta; Magnoliopsida; Fagales; Betulaceae
Exons: 2
Source: RefSeq, a predicted model, not a curated record